This 1706-nucleotide ribosomal RNA is filed under the name Anapis sp. LB-2014a. RNAcentral's name for it is "SSU rRNA". It matches the Rfam family "Eukaryotic small subunit ribosomal RNA". The record is from RNAcentral. Lineage: Eukaryota; Metazoa; Arthropoda; Arachnida; Araneae; Anapidae.
CCAUGCAUGUCUAAGUACAUGCCGUACCAAGGCGAAACCGCGAAUGGCUCAUUAAAUCAGUUAUGAUUUCUUGGAUUGUACAUAACUACUUGGAUAACUGUGGCAAUUCUAGAGCUAAUACAUGCAGCAGAGCUCCGACCUUCGGGGACGAGCGCUUUUAUUAGACCAAGACCAAUGCGGGUCCUCGUGGCCCGCCUCUAGUGGUGACUCUGUAUAACUUUUGGCUGAUCGCACGGGCUCGUCCCGGCGACGUAUCUUUCAAGUUUCUGCCUUAUCAACUGUCGAUGGUAGGUUAAGCGCCCACCAUGGUCGCAACGGGUGACGGGGGAUCAGGGUUCGAUUCCGGAGAGGGAGCCUGAGAAACGGCUACCACAUCCAAGGAAGGCAGCAGGCGCGCAAAUUACCCACUCCCGGAACGGGGAGGUAGUGACGAAAAAUAACAAUACGGGACUCUCUUGAGACCCCGUAAUUGGAAUGAGUACACUCUAAAUCCUUUAACGAGGAUCAAUUGGAGGGCCAGUCAGGUGCCAGCAGCGGCGGUAAAACCUGCUCCAAUAGCUUAUAUUAACGUUGUUGCGGUUAAAAAGCUCGUAGUUGGAUCUCAGUUCCGGUCGGGCGGUCCGCCUCCCGGCGGUCACUGCCCGUUCCGCAACAGCCGGCCGGUUUCCCUCGAUGAUCUUCGCCGGUUGUCUUGGGUGACCGGCGAGUUUACUUUGAAAAAAUUAGGGUGCUCAAAGCAGGCGUUUGCGCCUAGAUAAUUGUGCAUGGAAUAAUGGAAUAGGACCUCGGUUCUAUUUUGUUGGUUUUCGGAGCCCGAGGUAAUGAUUAAAAGGGACAGACGGGGGCAUCCGUACUGCGACGCUAGAGGUGAAAUUCUUGGACCGUCGCAAGACGAACUACUGCGAAGGCAUUUGCCAAGAAUGUUUCCAUUAAUCAAGAACGAAAGUUAGAUGAUCGAAGGCGAUCAGAUACCGCCCUAGUUCUAACAGUAAACGAUGCCAGCCAGCGAUCCGGCUGUGUUUCUCAAACGACACGCCGGGCAGCUUCCGGGAAACCAAAGCCUUUGGGUUCCGGGGGGAGUAUGGUUGCAAAGUUCAAACUUAAAGGAAUUGACGGAGGGGCACUACAAGGAAUGGGUCAUGCGGCUCAAUUUGACUCAACGCGGGGAAACUUUCCCGGACCCGAUUUAGGAAGGAUUGACAGAUUGAGAGCUCUUUCUUGAUUCUAAAGGAGGUGGUGCAUGGCCGCUCUUCGUUCGUAGAGCAAUUCGUCUGGUUGAUUCCGAUAACGAGCGAGACCCUAGCCUGCUAAAUAGACGUUCUGAUCCUCUCGUGGUCGGACGGUUCUUCUUAGAGGGAUAGGCGGCACUUAGCCGCAUGAGACGGAGCGAUAGCAGGUCUGUACGCCCUUAGAUGCCCGGGGCCGCACGCGCGACACAAUGAAGGAAUCAGCGUGUGAUCUCCUUGUCCGAAAGGACUGGGUAACCCGAUGAACCUCCUUCAUGCUUGGGAUUGGCCGAUUCAACUGAGGCCAUGAACGAGGAAUUCCUAGUAAGCGCUGUUCAUCAGACAGCAGUUGAUUACGUUCCUGCCCCUUGUGCACACCGCCCGUCGCUGGUAGCGAUCGAAAAGUGCAGUGAGGUCUUUGGACUGGCUUUCUGGAUGGUUUCGGCCGUCCGGUCUUGUUGGAAAGUUGACCGAACUCUA